This 253-nucleotide ribosomal RNA is filed under the name uncultured bacterium. RNAcentral describes it as "partial 16S ribosomal RNA". It matches the Rfam family "Bacterial small subunit ribosomal RNA", at positions 524 to 776 of the family's 1533-position model. The record is from RNAcentral.
UACGGGGGGGGCAAGCGUUGUUCGGAAUUACUGGGCGUAAAGGGCUCGUAGGUGGCCAAUUAAGUCAGACGUGAAAUCCCUCGGCUUAACCGGGGAACUGCGUCUGAUACUGAGGGUCUCGAGUCCGGGAGAGGUGAGUGGAACUGCGAGUGUAGAGGUGAAAUUCGUAGAUAUUCGCAAGAACACCAGUGGCGAAGGCGGCUCACUGGCCCGGUACUGACGCUGAGGUGCGAAAGCGUGGGGAGCAAUCAGG